UGCCUGUUCGAGCGUCAUUAAUACCAAUCCCUUCGGGGGUCUUGGGGUUCACCGUCUGGUGGCCCUUAAAAUCAGUGGCGGUGCCUCUCGGCUCUAAGCGUAGUAAUUCUUCUCGCUAUAGUCCCCGGGAGAACACUUGCCAUAACCCCCACACUUUUAAGGUUGACCUCGGAUCAGGUAGGGAUACCCGCUGAACUUAA
This 200-nucleotide unclassified non-coding RNA is filed under the name soil metagenome. RNAcentral's name for it is "partial contains internal transcribed spacer 2 and large subunit ribosomal RNA". The record is from RNAcentral.